This 138-nucleotide ribosomal RNA is filed under the name uncultured eukaryote. RNAcentral describes it as "partial 18S ribosomal RNA". It matches the Rfam family "Eukaryotic small subunit ribosomal RNA", at positions 1299 to 1458 of the family's 1831-position model. The record is from RNAcentral.
UGGUGGAGUGAUUUGUCUGGUUAAUUCCGAUAACGAACGAGACUCUGGCCUAUUAAAUAGUUCGCCGAUUCCGAUCUGUCGGCGUUAACUUCUUAGAGGGACAAGUGGCUUUUAGCCACGCGAGGUUGAGCAAUAACA